Non-coding RNA from Acanthosepion pharaonis, 108 nucleotides. Lineage: Eukaryota; Metazoa; Mollusca; Cephalopoda; Sepiida; Sepiidae. The record is from the annotation of a GenBank genome assembly.
UACGGCCAAGUCACGUUGAAACACCAGUUCCCGUACGUUCACCGGAGUUAAGCAACGUCGAACUUCGUCACUACCUAGAUGGGUGAUCGCUUGGGAAUACCGAGAGCU